This is a long non-coding RNA of Lynx canadensis (Canada lynx), 104 nucleotides long. RefSeq lists it as uncharacterized. The record is from RefSeq and is a predicted model, not a curated record. Lineage: Eukaryota; Metazoa; Chordata; Mammalia; Carnivora; Felidae. The transcript is spliced from 3 exons.
GGUGCCUGGCAGGCUCAGUUGGUGGAACAUGUGACUCUUGAUCUCAGGUUUCUCAGUUCAAGCCCCACGUUGGGUGUAGAAAUUACUUAAAAAUAAAAUCUAAA